GAAUCUUCCACAAUGGGCGAAAGCCUGAUGGAGCAACGCCGCGUGAGUGAAGAAGGUUUUCGGAUCGUAAAACUCUGUUGUAAGGGAAGAACAAGUACAGUAGUAACUGGCUGUACCUUGACGGUACCUUAUUAGAAAGCCACGGCUAACUACGUGCCAGCCGCCGCGGUAAUACGUAGGUGGCAAGCGUUGUCCGGAAUUAUUGGGCGUAAAGCGCGCGCAGGCGGUUCUUUAAGUCUGAUGUGAAAGCCCACGGCUCAACCGUGGAGGGUCAUUGGAAACUGGAGAACUUGAGUACAGAAGAGGAAAGCGGAAUUCCACGUGUAGCGGUGAAAUGCGUAGAGAUGUGGAGGAACACCAGUGGCGAAGGCGGCUUUCUGGUCUGUAACUGACGCUGAGGCGCGAAAGCGUGGGGAGCAAACAGG
Molecule: ribosomal RNA, 425 nt
Filed under: uncultured bacterium
Lineage: Bacteria
Description: bacterial SSU rRNA
Rfam family: Bacterial small subunit ribosomal RNA
Source: RNAcentral